CCGCUCAGCGCCAUGGCGGCCGCCGGCUGCCGAGCCCCGAGAUAUCGAUCCUCGCCGCCGCCCUCACGGCCCCCCGAGCCGCGUCGGUUCCGCUCACCGGUGCAGAGCCGUUAGCUCAGCGGUGCCACAAAGGGAAGACGAGUCACCAUGGAGGCCUUUGGCCCCGCAGCCUUCUGCCGGCCAGGGGUGUUGUGGAGCUUCAGCCAGAAAUGUCCUCUCUUUUCCUGACACUUUGACCAUCCCCCUGACUGUACCCACUGCUGUGCUGCCACCCACAAGAAAUGGCAGAGAGAAAAGCAGGCCUUUUCAUUCAGGUGAAGCUGGCUUGGUUUGUCUAUUACCUCCCUCCCUUAGAGACACUGUUCCACAUAAAGGUUUGUUUCCACAGACAUCAUCAUGUUACUGGGACGCUGCAUUUCUGUAGAUAAUUUUCAGUUUCCUUUGUCCCUUCUUACCUUUGGGUCCUGGAGUUUGUGUUGAAUAGGACAGGCAAUUCCUGUUGUGUCGCCUUCUUUCAUUUCACCUGAUGCUGUUUCGUUUACCACAUCCAAGUAAUGCCAUAAUCACACACUGGAUAAUGUCUGGAUUUUGCUGUGGUUUAACUGAGCAGCCCUUUGCACCUGCUUUUUUGUUGUUGUCCACCAUUACAAUGGGUACUCUGUGGCUGAAACAUUCAAAUCAGGACCUUAUUAUUUUAUUUCAGUUUCAUGGAGUUGAGGGCAGCAUUUUAUAAGCAUUAAAUCCACUUUGAAAAAUUGGAUUUUAACAAACGAAGAAAUAAACAGGCAUGAGAGAGAAACAGAUAUUCUAAUUAACCAAAAGAUGAGGCUAAUUAUCUGAAUCCAGUAAACUCUCCGGAAGUAAGUUGGACAGCAGAGAAUAUGUGUUAAAAACAAGGAGCCAUCCCCUAGCAUGGGCUUGUGGUAAAAACAUUGCAGUGCUACCAUUUAAUACGUAUCAUUAAUAUGCAGCAGCAAGUAUGUGGCUGUAUGAAUUCAGCACUGCAGAGGCAACGAGUAUAGGAAAGGAGAUUGUUUUGAGGUUAAAACCCCAGUCUGGGUGGCGGGACACUAGGUUGUGUUUCACACCUUGUCAGGCUGCUUUUGUGAUCUUUACUGAAUUAUGUCAGUGAGUUGCCAACUGUGUGAUCCUGUGAAAUGUAUAUCAUUCCUAUACUGAAAUCAGUGUAUUCCACAGUCAGUGUUUAAAAAAUGAAAUUAUAUAUACUGUGUGUUAUAUCAACAUUUCUUGCAGAGGUACAGGCACUUCUGUGCUACAGGCUGGCUCCGCUGCAUGCCAGACUUUCACAGUUUGUAUCUUUGUACAGUUUGUUUACAAUUACUCCCACUUUUCAGUCCUUUGGAAAAGUACCAAGGCAGGGAUGUGAAGUUACAGCUGUACACAAAACCUUGAUUCUCCCGUUUCACCUGUAUAUUGUUUACAGUUUAGUCCAUCUUAAUACAGGGUUAAAGAGAUACUAGUAUCAGUACAGUUUGUAUUGGUUUUGUUAAAUGAAAAAGCAAUAAUUGCUCACAUCUGUUACAAUAUUUCAAAUCUUGAUGAUUUUAAUUGCCUAAAAAUGCAAUUAAUAGGUCACUACUUAGGGUGAAACUUCUCUAGUCAAUUCAAACAUAUAUACAUUAAUCUGAAAUUGAGAACUUUAAAGAUUCUCAUGAAAUUUAUGGUGGUAUUUUUGUGUCCCAAGUUUAUCAAAGCUUUCAGUCAUGGAUGCUUUAUCCCGAAGCAUGCAUUUAUGCCAUGCCUGAAUAGAAGCUGUGCUCCAUUCAUAACACUUCUCCAUAUCCACACAGACAGUGUAGGUGAUACUCCACAUUUCUGACCUCAUAUUGUGUGCUGUUGUGACACACUGUCCCUUGUACAAAAUGCUUGUCAAAUGCAGCUGCAUAAUCUCUGCAAUUUCAAUAGGUUCUUCAGCUUGGAGCAUCUCUUUGCCUUUCUGUGUUUCUCUGCUUCUGUGUGAGUGUGGAUUCGCGUACUAUUGCUCACUCUCUUAACUGUACAUCCCACCACACACCAGCAAAAAGGCCCAAAGUGAAUCUAUCCUGAGAUCGAUACAUCCCUCUAAAGUAGCUGUGAAUUCACACUGCUUGAGAAUCUGGCUCUGUCUUCUGAGAAUACGAAUUACAGAUUUAGUAAUGAAAGCUCAGUCUCAACCACAGAAAGUAGUUGUAUAAGCUGCCUUUUGCUACUUCAUUAAGAUCAACAUAUCCUAGAAAAACUACUGUCUGUGAGUUUAGUCCAGUCAGCCACUGGGGUGAUGAUCUGGCCUUUCUGCAGUAAACAAGCUUUGCUGUUAACUUUCACAGUGUCAGAAAUUUGUCCCCUCAUACUCUGUUAAAGUAGAACAAAUUACUGAUGCCUGUGAUGGUGAUUUCUGUACUUUGGACAUUUACCCUUGUACCUGAACCAAAAUACUCAUCUUUUAUUUCCUUUGAGUCACAGCUGAUGGUAUUACUGUGCUUUAAUGAUUUAGAUGAAAAGACUUGCAAGUAGCUUUUUACAGCUAAUCUUUAUAUUGGCUAAUCAGUAGAAAAUAAAUAUUUUCCUACGAGUUUAUUAUUAACCACUAUUAUAGGGACUGGAAACUCUAGACCAGGGUUAUUCCCAGAUAUUGUUUGCAUGGAUACUGAGCUUCAGCUCUGUGCUGGGUACCACAUAUACUACCACUUGGCCAUCCUGCCCUAAACUUAUUUCCAGUGAACCAUUCCUGCUGGAUAGUGUUGUCCACUGCAUUCAGUAAAGACAAUUUCUCCUACAUUGCCAGUGCAAUGGAUUGAUAAGCCUUUGUUUUUACAAACUGUUUACAACACCUUGCCCAUGAGCCAUUUAUUUGCGCUUUAGCUAUGGCAUACCGAAUUCACGUUCUUUAUUGUGUGUGCCUUUGAUAAUUUGAGAAAGCAAACACGGAGCAUUCUGAGAAGCAGGUAGUCUUGGAGGGAAGAAAGCAUUGAUCUGAAGUGAUGUAAUAUCUGAAAGAUUUUGUCCAAAACAAUCAUACAUCUACUUUUUUCUAGUUUAAAAGAUGAACAAAUUAAAAGAGACAAAUUAAAUUCCAUCUAGUGCUUUCAGCUGCAGACCAGGACUUUUCACAUGACAGAAUGGCACAAACUCUGAAUUUGCGUCUCCUGGCCUGAAGUUCCAGUCCUUACGGACUUCCUUGACUCUCAACAACUUCAGUGUAACUGUGACAGCCUGGAGCGUUUUUCUUUCAAAGAAUUGCUAAGAUUGAAAAAUGAAGCUCUUAGAAAAUGCUAAAAUGAAGGUUGCUGUUGUGAAUUUAAUUCCUCUGUUCUUUCUGACAUAUUAGUAUGCUCUAUUUUCUAUAGUAUCAGUGAUUCAUUAACUAUACAUUUGGGUAAGUUACUGAAUGAAGCUGUUCUAUAUUCAUCUCUUGCUAUCACAUUCCAGUAUAUGGCCCAUGCCUUGUUCGGUAAGCAUCAUAUAAUUGCUGCUGGAUGAGGCCAAGAAGUAGCAUGUGACUAGAUGAUCGGAGGAACAUUCUGUGAGACACAUUCACAGGGAACAGGAGCUAAGAUGUCAAAGAUGAUUUUAACAUGGGUAUUUCCAUUCUUGGUGUUGUAACAAUGUGAUUCUUUUAAAACACUGAUUUUUGUGGAAUUUCUCACGUCUGCUGGAUUGCUUUCAGAAAAGCAGAAGGAUUAAACUCCAUUUGUGCAAUUUUUCACCAGUUAACACAAGAAGUCUCUUUGCUUAAUAAAACCUUGCACCGUA
Harpia harpyja (harpy eagle) is the source of this 3753-nucleotide long non-coding RNA. RefSeq lists it as uncharacterized. NCBI's taxonomy places the organism in Eukaryota, Metazoa, Chordata, Aves, Accipitriformes, Accipitridae. The transcript has 2 exons. The record is from RefSeq and is a predicted model, not a curated record.